AGGAAUAUUGGUCAAUGGGCGAGAGCCUGAACCAGCCAAGUAGCGUGAGGGAAGACUGCCCUAUGGGUUGUAAACCUCUUUUGUGCGGGGAUAAAGUGUGGGACGUGUCCCAUAUUGCAGGUACCGCACGAAUAAGGACCGGCUAAUUCCGUGCCAGCAGCCGCGGUAAUACGGAAGGUCCGGGCGUUAUCCGGAUUUAUUGGGUUUAAAGGGAGCGCAGGCCGUCCUUUAAGCGUGCUGUGAAAUGCCGCGGCUCAACCGUGGCACUGCAGCGCGAACUGGAGGACUUGAGUACGCACGAGGUAGGCGGAAUUCGUGGUGUAGCGGUGAAAUGCUUAGAUAUCACGAAGAACUCCGAUUGCGAAGGCAGCUUACCGGAGCGCAACUGACGCUGAGGCUCGAAAGCGCGGGUAUCGAACAGGAUUAGAUACCCUGGUAGUCCGCGCGGUAAACGAUGGAUGCCCGCCGUUGGGAUUUUGAUUUCAGCGGCCAAGCGAAAGCGUUAAGCAUCCCACCUGGGGAGUACGCCGGCAACGGUGAAACUCAAAGGAAUUGACGGGGGCCCGCACAAGCGGAGGAACAUGUGGUUUAAUUCGAUGAUACGCGAGGAACCUUACCCGGGCUUGAAUUGCAGGAGAACGAUCCAGAGAUGGUGAGGCCCUUCGGGGCUCCUGUGAAGGUGCUGCAUGGUUGUCGUCAGCUCGUGCCGUGAGGUGUCGGCUCAAGUGCCAUAACGAGCGCAACCCCUGUCCAUAGUUGCCAUCAGGUCGUGCUGGGCACUCUGUGGAGACUGCCGCCGUAAGGUGUGAGGAAGGUGGGGAUGACGUCAAAUCAGCACGGCCCUUACGUCCGGGGCUACACACGUGUUACAAUGGGGCAUACAGCGAGUUGGAUGUGCGCAAGUACGUCCGGAUCAAUAAAGUGCCUCUCAGUUCGGACUGGGGUCUGCAACCCGACCCCACGAAGCUGGAUUCGCUAGUAAUCGCGCAUCAGCCACGGCGCGGUGAAUACGUUCCCG
RNAcentral lists this ribosomal RNA (1018 nucleotides) under uncultured bacterium. Its description in RNAcentral is "bacterial SSU rRNA". It matches the Rfam family "Bacterial small subunit ribosomal RNA", at positions 357 to 1376 of the family's 1533-position model. The record is from RNAcentral.